Molecule: ribosomal RNA, 489 nt
Filed under: uncultured bacterium
Lineage: Bacteria
Description: bacterial SSU rRNA
Rfam family: Bacterial small subunit ribosomal RNA
Source: RNAcentral
AUGAACGCUAGCUACAGGCUUAACACAUGCAAGUCGAGGGGCAGCAUGGUCUUAGCUUGCUAAGACUGAUGGCGACCGGCGCACGGGUGAGUAACACGUAUCCAACCUGCCGUCUACUCUUGGACAGCCUUCUAGAAAGGAAGAUUAAUAUCCGAUAGCAUAUUGAGAUCGCAUGAUUUUGAUAUUAAAGAAUUUCGGUUAUCGAUGGGGAUGCGUUCCAUUAGUUUGUUGGCGGGGUAACGGCCCACCAAGACUACGAUGGAUAGGGGUUCUGAGAGGAAGGUCCCCCACAUUGGAACUGAGACACGGUCCAAACUCCUACGGGAGGCAGCAGUGAGGAAUAUUGGUCAAUGGACGAGAGUCUGAACCAGCCAAGUAGCGUGAAGGAUGACUGCCCUAUGGGUUGUAAACUUCUUUUAUAUGGGAAUAAAGUAUUCCACGUGUGGGAUUUUGUAUGUACCAUAUGAAUAAGGAUCGGCUAACUCCGUG